This 253-nucleotide ribosomal RNA is filed under the name uncultured Thiohalophilus sp. RNAcentral's name for it is "partial 16S ribosomal RNA". It matches the Rfam family "Bacterial small subunit ribosomal RNA", at positions 524 to 776 of the family's 1533-position model. Lineage: Bacteria; Pseudomonadati; Pseudomonadota; Gammaproteobacteria; Thiohalomonadales; Thiohalophilaceae. The record is from RNAcentral.
UACGGAGGGUGCAAGCGUUAAUCGGAAUUACUGGGCGUAAAGCGUACGUAGGCGGUUAGAUUAGUCGGAUGUGAAAGCCCCGGGCUUAACCUGGGAAUUGCAUUCGAUACUGUCUGGCUAGAGUGUGGAAGAGGGAAGUGGAAUUCCAGGUGUAGCGGUGAAAUGCGUAGAUAUCUGGAGGAACAUCAGUGGCGAAGGCGACUUCCUGGUCCAACACUGACGCUGAGGUACGAAAGCGUGGGGAGCAAACAGG